RNAcentral lists this ribosomal RNA (497 nucleotides) under uncultured bacterium. Its description in RNAcentral is "partial 16S ribosomal RNA". It matches the Rfam family "Bacterial small subunit ribosomal RNA", at positions 28 to 507 of the family's 1533-position model. The record is from RNAcentral.
GACGAACGCUGGCGGCGUGCCUAAUACAUGCAAGUAGAACGCUGAAGGAAGGAGCUUGCUCUUUCUGGAUGAGUUGCGAACGGGUGAGUAACGCGUAGGUAACCUGCCUGGUAGCGGGGGAUAACUAUUGGAAACGAUAGCUAAUACCGCAUAAAAUUGAUUAUUGCAUGAUAGUCAAUUAAAAGGUGCAACUGCACCACUACCAGAUGGACCUGCGUUGUAUUAGCUAGUUGGUGGGGUAACGGCUCACCAAGGCGACGAUACAUAGCCGACCUGAGAGGGUGAUCGGCCACACUGGGACUGAGACACGGCCCAGACUCCUACGGGAGGCAGCAGUAGGGAAUCUUCGGCAAUGGACGGAAGUCUGACCGAGCAACGCCGCGUGAGUGAAGAAGGGUUUCGGAUCGUAAAGCUCUGUUGUAAGAGAAGAACGAGUGUGAGAGUGGAAAGUUCACACUGUGACGGUAUCUUGCCAGAAAGGGACGGCUAACUACGUG